RNAcentral lists this ribosomal RNA (489 nucleotides) under uncultured bacterium. Its description in RNAcentral is "partial 16S ribosomal RNA". It matches the Rfam family "Bacterial small subunit ribosomal RNA", at positions 29 to 506 of the family's 1533-position model. The record is from RNAcentral.
AAUGAACGCUGGCGGCAUGCCUUACACAUGCAAGUCGAACGGCAGCAUGACCUCGCUUGCUAGGUUGAUGGCGAGUGGCGAACGGGUGAGUCAUGCAUCGGCACGUGCCUUUUAGUGGGGGAUAACGUAGCGAAAGUUACGCUAAUACCGCUUAUUCUCUGAGGAGGAAAGCAGGGGAACUUCGGGCCUUGCGCUAGUAGAGCGGCCGCUGUCGGAGUAGCUAGUUGGGGAGGUAAAGGCUCACCCAGGGAACGAUCGGUAGCGGGUCUGAGAGGAUGAUCCGGCACAGUGAGAGUGAGACACGGCACAGACUCCGACGGGAGGCAGCAGUGGGGAAGGUUGGAAAAUGGGGGCAAGCCUGAUCCAGCCAUGCCGCGUGGGUGAAGAAGGCCUUCGGGUGGGAAAGCUGUUUCGGCUGGGAAGAAAUCGCACCCUCUAAUACAGGGUGUGGAUGACGGUACCAGCAUAAGAAGAACGGGCUAACUACGU